This 720-nucleotide ribosomal RNA is filed under the name Erysiphe quercicola. RNAcentral's name for it is "eukaryotic LSU rRNA". The stretch from base 246 to 399 matches the Rfam family "5.8S ribosomal RNA". The record is from RNAcentral. Lineage: Eukaryota; Fungi; Ascomycota; Leotiomycetes; Helotiales; Erysiphaceae.
UUCUUGGAACUGCGAAGGAUCUUACAGAGCGUGAGGCUCAGUCGUGGCAUCUGCUGCGUGCUGGGCCGACCCUCCCACCCGUGUCGAUUUGUAUCUUGUUGCUUUGGCGGGCCGGGCCGCGUCGUCGCUGCCCCGCAAGGACAAGCGUCGGCCGCCCACCGGUUUCGGCUGGAGCGCGCCCGCCAAAGACCCCAUCAAAACUCAUGUUGUUUAUGUCGUCUUAGCUUUAUUAUUGAAAUUGAUAAAACUUUCAACAACGGAUCUCUUGGCUCUGGAAUCUAUGAAGAACGCACCGAAAUGCGAUAAGUAAUGUGAAUUGCAGAAUUUAGUGAAUCAUCGAAUCUUUGAACGCACAUUGCGCCCCUUGGUAUUCCGAGGGGCAUGCCUGUUCGAGCGUCAUAACACCCCCUCCAGUUACCUUUGUGUGGCUGCGGUGUUGGGGCUCGUCGUGAUACGGCGGCCCUUAAAGACAGUGGCGGUCCCGGCGUGGGCUCUACGCGUAGUAACUUGCUUCUCGCGACAGAGUGACGACGGCGGCUUGCCAUAACAACCCACUUGCUCCAGUCAACAUGUAUCACAGGUUGACCUCAAAUCAGGUAGGAAUACCCGCUGAACUUAAGCAUAUCAAUAAGCGGAGCUGCAGAGGCCUUUCUCUCUUCCCAAAGAGAGGAAUAAUUUUCACGUAUUUUAUAAGUUUCCUAAAUCUUCUCCUUAAUUCAC